This 253-nucleotide ribosomal RNA is filed under the name uncultured bacterium. RNAcentral describes it as "partial 16S ribosomal RNA". It matches the Rfam family "Bacterial small subunit ribosomal RNA", at positions 524 to 776 of the family's 1533-position model. The record is from RNAcentral.
UACAGAGGGUGCAAGCGUUAAUCGGAAUUACUGGGCGUAAAGCGCACGUAGGCGGUUGGUUAAGUUGGAUGUGAAAGCCCCGGGCUCAACCUGGGAAUUGCAUUCAAAACUGCUGAGCUAGAGUACGGUAGAGGGUGGAGGAAUUUCCUGUGUAGCGGUGAAAUGCGUAGAUAUAGGAAGGAACACCAGUGGCGAAGGCGACCACCUGGACUGAUACUGACACUGAGGUGCGAAAGCGUGGGGAGCAAACAGG